GACCAGACUCCUACGGGAGGCAGCAGUGGGGAAUAUUGGGCAAUGGGCGCAAGCCUGACCCAGCAAUGCCGCGUGAAGGAAGAAGGCCUUCGGGUUGUAAACUUCUUUUAUCAGGGACGAAGGAUGUGACGGUACCUGAUGAAUAAGCUCCGGCUAACUACGUGCCAGCAGCCGCGGUAAUACGUAGGGAGCAAGCGUUAUCCGGAUUUAUUGGGUGUAAAGGGCGUGUAGGCGGGAAUGCAAGUCAGAUGUGAAAACUCAGGGCUCAACCCUGAGCCUGCAUUUGAAACUGUAUUUCUUGAGUGCUGGAGAGGCAAUCGGAAUUCCGUGUGUAGCGGUGAGAUGCGUAGAUAUACGGAGGAACACCAGUGGCGAAGGCGGAUUGCUGGACAGUAACUGACGCUGAGGCGCGAAAGCGUGGGGAGCAAACAGGAUUAGAUACCCUUGUAA
RNAcentral lists this ribosomal RNA (450 nucleotides) under uncultured bacterium. RNAcentral describes it as "partial 16S ribosomal RNA". It matches the Rfam family "Bacterial small subunit ribosomal RNA", at positions 329 to 793 of the family's 1533-position model. The record is from RNAcentral.